RNAcentral lists this transfer RNA (68 nucleotides) under Marmota monax (woodchuck). Its description in RNAcentral is "tRNA.Ala". Lineage: Eukaryota; Metazoa; Chordata; Mammalia; Rodentia; Sciuridae. The record is from RNAcentral.
GCUGUAGCUCACUGGUAGAGUGCUUGCCUAGCAUGUGUGAGGUACUAGGUUCAAUCCUCAGCACUGCA